This 263-nucleotide unclassified non-coding RNA is filed under the name Ischnoderma resinosum. RNAcentral's name for it is "partial internal transcribed spacer region". The stretch from base 1 to 46 matches the Rfam family "Eukaryotic small subunit ribosomal RNA", at positions 1786 to 1831 of the family's 1831-position model. Lineage: Eukaryota; Fungi; Basidiomycota; Agaricomycetes; Polyporales; Ischnodermataceae. The record is from RNAcentral.
AAGUCGUAACAAGGUUUCCGUAGGUGAACCUGCGGAAGGAUCAUUAUUGAAUUUGAAAGAGGUAUUGUUGCUGGUCUUUCGGGACAUGUGCACGCCUCGCUCAUCUCCAUUCACACCUGUGCACUCUUUGUAGGUUGGUUUUGGACUUGACCUUACGGUCUCGUUUAAGCUUGCCUAUGAUUUUAUACAUACACUCAGUUUAUAGAAUGUCAUUGCGUUAAACGCAUUAUAUACAACUUUCAGCAACGGAUCUCUUGGCUCUC